Molecule: long non-coding RNA, 1155 nt
Organism: Stegodyphus dumicola
Lineage: Eukaryota; Metazoa; Arthropoda; Arachnida; Araneae; Eresidae
Source: RefSeq, a predicted model, not a curated record
GUAAAGUCAUAUUUUCUUUCGUUUUACCGCAUAAUUUUAAUUGCACGAAUUUAAAGUUGAACGAGAAUUUUGAAGAGGCUUGGAAUUCUUAUAUUCCUUUAGCUGGUAUGACAAAGUAAGCAAAAUGCCCAAACCAUUGAAUGUUGAAAAACUGGAAAGGAAGUUUGCUUCCUUAACCAGAUCAAGAGAGAGUAUUCUUGGUUUAUCUUCAUGGAUAUUUCAUCAUAAGGAGAAUUAUAAGGAAAUAGUAGAAGCAUGGCUAAAUUCAUUAAUGAAAGACACCGUGGCUCGAUGCAGACUGCCAACCAGCAGCGUGAGACACUUUUGUUACGGACAUGGAGACGAGGAUUCGAAUUUUGGAAGCCGAAUGGGCAGAUUGCGCGUUUUAGAGCAGACUUAUUGUGACCUCAUGACCACCUUCUGUGAUUCUUCCACUUCUUCAUUAUUAUCUGGGGAUAUUUGUUCAUCUGAGGACAUUUCUUACGGCUAUUGGAUCUUAAAGACAACUGGCAGAACUUAGCGAACAAAGAUUCUUAUGUGCUAAAUAACUACAUGGCUGCUUUGCACAAUAUGGAAAAACUUUGUACGAAGUUCUUUCAGAUUGCUUGGGCAAUUUUUCUUAUCGUGUUAGAGCGAAACCAUGUUAUAUGAAAACCGUGUUGUAGGAGGGUUUUCACAUUUUAUGAAGCAUGUUAUAGUGAAACCAUGUUACAGGAUGCUGUGUUGUAGAAGAGCUACCUGUACUCAUAUUCUUUUAAAAAAUCGUUCACAGAGGACUUUUCUUCUAUUAUUUUGUCAAGGAAAUUUAAUAUUGCUGUGUGUACCAUUUCUCAUUGCAAUUUUUCAAUUUUGCACAGUGGAAGGGUCAAUGCUUUUAACCCUUUCACUAUGAAUUAAGAAAAAAAUUUUUAAAUUUCCUAUCUAAGUGAAGGAAAUAAUCAUAAAAUAAUGUAAAUUUAGCAUUUGGAAUUUUUUUGACAAAUGGUUUUCAAGCAAAAGGUUGGGCACAUAUGUCCCGGUUAUAGUUAAUGGUGGGAUACAUAUGUCCCACGUGCAGUGAUCGACUUACUUAAACACACCUAUUAUUAUGGGAAACUUUAUUAUAUGAAAUAGAUUUUGCAUCAUAUGGUACAGGGUGAAGCAUUCUUUGCAUAA